GUUUUAAGGGAUACGGCAAUUAACGGGUUAAUCCGAAGCAUCAAGACUUUGAAAUCACAUACACAGAACAAUAUUCAUUAAGAAAGUGAAAUUAAAUGAUUAAUAAACUAUUUAUUCGAACCCUUGCUAUUUUCUAUUCUAAUAAAAGUCUUGGCUGUGGAACAUCUGUAAUAGAGUUGGCUAGCUGGAUGCAAAUAAAGUCAUGCCUUUUAUUUUUUCCCCUGUUUGCUAUUUCACAUUCCUGUCACUGAAGCGUUGUGGCCAAAGACACAGAAGGCAACUGAAACAAUGUGGUUUAAGUCAAGGUGAUUAUUAGGGGUCCAAGCACAUUGGUUUGUGUAGAUGAUGCAGUUACACAAUGAACGUGUCUCUUUUCAAGUAAAUUAUGAGUCCUUAUGUGAGUACUAUUAUAUGCACAACAUGAAAAUAGAUAACUAAUAUAGUGUCCCUUCUACACUUUUUCAGUAAUGUGUGAUAACUUGAGAAAUAUGUUGUCAAUACAAUUAAAAUAACAAAGUAAUGGUAUUUAGGAGAUGAUAGCUUUUGCAUAAUUACUAUAUUGGGCUUUAUUAAAGUUUAUGAAAAAAGAAUGAAUGUUUAUGCAUUUUUUAUUUAUGCACAUAAAUUAAACAUUUUCAAGUCUUUGAACAGAUCUUGAAGUAUUUG
This is a long non-coding RNA of Cyprinus carpio carpio, 666 nucleotides long. Lineage: Eukaryota; Metazoa; Chordata; Actinopteri; Cypriniformes; Cyprinidae. The record is from Ensembl.